This 497-nucleotide ribosomal RNA is filed under the name uncultured bacterium. RNAcentral's name for it is "partial 16S ribosomal RNA". It matches the Rfam family "Bacterial small subunit ribosomal RNA", at positions 28 to 507 of the family's 1533-position model. The record is from RNAcentral.
GAUGAACGCUGGCGGCGUGCCUAAUACAUGCAAGUCGAGCGAACAGACGAGGAGCUUGCUCCUCUGACGUUAGCGGCGGACGGGUGAGUAACACGUGGAUAACCUACCUAUAAGACUGGGAUAACUUCGGGAAACCGGAGCUAAUACCGUAUAACAUGUUGAACCGCAUGGUUCAACAGUGAAAGACGGUCUUGCUGUCACUUAUAGAUGGAUCCGCGCCGCAUUAGCUAGUUGGUAAGGUAACGGCUUACCAAGGCAACGAUGCGUAGCCGACCUGAGAGGGUGAUCGGCCACACUGGAACUGGGACACGGUCCAGACUCCUACGGGAGGCAGCAGUAGGGAAUCUUCCGCAAUGGGCGAAAGCCUGACGGAGCAACGCCGCGUGAGUGAAGAAGGUCUUCGGAUCGUAAAACUCUGUUAUUAGGGAAGAACAAAUGUGUAAGUAACUAUGCACGUCUUGACGGUACCUAAUCAGAAAGCCACGGCUAACUACGUG